UGACUUUGAUUAUGGCUCAGGAUGAACGCUGGCGGCGUGCCUAAUACAUGCAAGUCGAACGAAACUUCUUUAUCACCGAGUGCUUGCACUCACCGAUAAAGAGUUGAGUGGCGAACGGGUGAGUAACACGUGGGCAACCUGCCCAAAAGAGGGGGAUAACACUUGGAAACAGGUGCUAAUACCGCAUAACCAUAGUUACCGCAUGGUAACUAUGUAAAAGGUGGCUAUGCUACCGCUUUUGGAUGGGCCCGCGGCGCAUUAGCUGGUUGGUGGGGUAAAGGCUUACCAAGGCAAUGAUGCGUAGCCGAACUGAGAGGUUGAUCGGCCACAUUGGGACUGAGACACGGCCCAAACUCCUACGGGAGGCAGCAGUAGGGAAUCUUCCACAAUGGGCGAAGGCCUGAUGGAGCAACGCCGCGUGGGUGAAGAAGGUCUUCGGAUCGUAAAACCCUGUUGUUAGAGAAGAAAGUGCGUGAGAGUAACUGUUCACGUUUCGACGGUAUCUAACCAGAAAGCCACGGCUAACUACGUGCCAGCAGCCGCGGUAAUACGUAGGUGGCAAGCGUUAUCCGGAUUUAUUGGGCGUAAAGGGAACGCAGGCGGUCUUUUAAGUCUGAUGUGAAAGCCUUCGGCUUAACCGGAGUAGUGCAUUGGAAACUGGGAGACUUGAGUGCAGAAGAGGAGAGUGGAACUCCAUGUGUAGCGGUGAAAUGCGUAGAUAUAUGGAAGAACACCAGUGGCGAAAGCGGCUCUCUGGUCUGUAACUGACGCUGAGGUUCGAAAGCGUGGGUAGCAAACAGGAUUAGAUACCCUGGUAGUCCACGCCGUAAACGAUGAAUGCUAAGUGUUGGAGGGUUUCCGCCCUUCAGUGCUGCAGCUAACGCAAUAAGCAUUCCGCCUGGGGAGUACGACCGCAAGGUUGCAACUCAAAUGAAUUGACGGA
This 943-nucleotide ribosomal RNA is filed under the name uncultured Bacillota bacterium. RNAcentral describes it as "bacterial SSU rRNA". It matches the Rfam family "Bacterial small subunit ribosomal RNA", at positions 1 to 917 of the family's 1533-position model. The record is from RNAcentral. Lineage: Bacteria; Bacillati; Bacillota.